Molecule: non-coding RNA, 68 nt
Organism: Zootermopsis nevadensis
Lineage: Eukaryota; Metazoa; Arthropoda; Insecta; Blattodea; Termopsidae
Source: Rfam
CACGGUGGUAUAGCGGUUAGAACGCUGGCCUUGUAAUCCUGGGGUCUCGGGUUCGAUUCCCGGCGGUG